RNAcentral lists this long non-coding RNA (229 nucleotides) under Mytilus galloprovincialis (Mediterranean mussel). Lineage: Eukaryota; Metazoa; Mollusca; Bivalvia; Mytilida; Mytilidae. The record is from RNAcentral.
UGAAAUUUUUACAGUGUGUUGUACUACUUUUGGGACAAAUUAUAUCAAAAUUAUAGAAAACUUCAUCGGCUCUAACUCAAAAUAUGGACAAUUUUAUGUUUAGGGCGUCUUAAAAUCUUUUGAAAGCUUCCGAAGUGCUAAUUUUCAACCUUUUUCAGCUGGACCAAAUCACUACUUUCCUUUAAAAUUCUGAACCCAAAUUUUUUUACAGUGUAAUUUUCAUCCCCCC